GACGUAGGGGGCCAGCGUUGCUCGGAAUUACUGGGCGUAAAGGGUUCGUAGGCGGUGUGGCAAGUCGGUAGUGAAAUCUCCAGGCUUAACUUGGAGGCUGCUGCCGAAACUGCCGUGCUAGAGUGUGGGAGAGGCGAGUGGAAUUACAGGUGUAGCGGUGAAAUGCGUAGAUAUCUGUAGGAACACCCGUGGCGAAGGCGGCUCGCUGGACCACAACUGACGCUGAGGAACGAAAGCUAGGGGAGCAAACAGG
Molecule: ribosomal RNA, 253 nt
Filed under: uncultured bacterium
Lineage: Bacteria
Description: partial 16S ribosomal RNA
Rfam family: Bacterial small subunit ribosomal RNA
Source: RNAcentral